This 1065-nucleotide ribosomal RNA is filed under the name uncultured Foraminifera-like protist. RNAcentral's name for it is "bacterial SSU rRNA". It matches the Rfam family "Eukaryotic small subunit ribosomal RNA", at positions 1160 to 1831 of the family's 1831-position model. The record is from RNAcentral. Lineage: Eukaryota; Foraminifera.
AAGGGCACCACAAGAAACGCGUGGAGCAUGUGGCUUAAUUUGACUCAACGCGGGAAAUCUUACCGGGUCCGGACACAUUGAGGAUUGACAGGCGCAAAAUGGCUCGCCCGCUUGCUCUCGGGCAGGCGAACCGGCUAUUUCUAAAUAUGCUAGUCCUUUCAUGAUUGUGUGAUAGGUGGUGCAUGGCCGUUCUUAGUUCGUGGAGUGAUCUGUCUGCUUAAUUGCGUUUCAGAAAAUANGUUCUUAGAAGUAAUUGCUUGCCGCGCUUGGCUUGCCAAUGUGCGCGAGCACCCUUGCAACCUUGAAGGCAACGAACGUGAUCGCAACCUCUUGUUGCCUUCCUUUCGUCUUUAUGGCGAACUGUUGCCUCGUGAUUCUUUCAAGCUUUGCCUUUUUUGUCCUCGCUCGCGUCUCCUGGCAUCCUUUGGUGUCCCGUUGGCGUGUGGCUGGGUAGCCAUGGAGACAAACGCUGGGAUAUUCUGAAGGUUGAAUAGAACCAAGUGCAAACUAAAAGGACGCGCAUUUUUUUAGAACCGGGAGGAAGGUGGCGGCAAUAACAGUUCUGUGAUGCCCUUAGAUGUUCCGGGCUGCACACGUGCUACAAUGAUUGUUGCAGUGAGCAUCUUGAAAAGUUCGCGUGGUUAUUUUGCGCGACACUACCUACGUCGAAAGUACAUAGGCAAUCAAUUCGAAGUAACGAUUUCCUUUGCACGUUAACAAGUCUUGUGUUUGAGGUGUACGGACAGAUGGCAGGUUUCGGCUUGUCAACGCGUGCAUCUGCGCAGGACGUGCUUCUAUUUAAUUCAUGGUGGGACAGACCAUUGCAAUUGUUGGUCUCGGUCUUNAACUAGGAAUGCCUUGUACGGGUCAUGGUUCAACAGACCACCCGGAAUAUGUCCCUGCCCUUUGUACACACCGCCCGUCGCUCUUACCGAUGGACUUCUCUGUGAGUUUGAGGGACUGGCCGUAUAGCUAUGGAAACUCAAACGAACAGUGUGGUCUAAAGGAAAGAGAAGUCGUAACAAGGCAUCGGUAGGUGAACCUGCAGAAGGAUCAAGCUUGGAU